This 516-nucleotide long non-coding RNA is filed under the name Malus domestica (apple). Its description in RNAcentral is "long non-coding RNA (MDOM_LNC000560)". The record is from RNAcentral. Lineage: Eukaryota; Viridiplantae; Streptophyta; Magnoliopsida; Rosales; Rosaceae.
UGUUUACUAGGUUUACAAAAGAUUAGUGGGAGUUAAUCAUGUUCCUAAAUUUGAAUAUAUAUAUAUAUAUACACAUAUAUGAUAUAUUAAUUUUGGAAAUGAAAAGAAUACUUCUUCGUUAAAGUUAUGACUUUAAACAUUCUAUAAAGAUAGAAUGGAUAUGGGAGACAUAGUCUAUAUACAUGGGAUGGAAAUCUACAAUGAUAGAUUUCAAGAUAUAAUUGGAUUAUAUCAAUCCCUAAUAAUGGACAAAAGAUGCUAGGAAGUUUCUCAUGUGAUGAUAAACUUCAAUCAGAAGAACAACUCUAGUGAGACUAGGAGGUAGCUCUUCUCAAAGGGAACGUACCCUUUGACUCCCAAAGAAAUAAUGCGUAAAUAGAAUCCUUUAUGCAUACGCAGAAAGGUGAUUUACAUAUUUCAUAUUGUAUGAAAAACGUUGAUAUGAGUUGUACCAAGAUCGGUACAAGAUGAUAUCAAUGUAAGCCCAGGAUCAGAACCAUGGCAACUGUCAAGUGA